This is a long non-coding RNA of Takifugu rubripes (torafugu), 2180 nucleotides long. NCBI's taxonomy places the organism in Eukaryota, Metazoa, Chordata, Actinopteri, Tetraodontiformes, Tetraodontidae. The record is from Ensembl.
UGGGAAGUAUUAUUUGAAUUUAUUUAUUCCUUUUUUAAAAAAAAAUAUUUCUUUUUGUCAAAAUUCAAAGCCAAGCAGAUGUAGCCGGUGUGAAACAUCAGAUGACUUCUGUAGGAGCUUAUGGCUGGAAACAGCCCCGUAUUGUUUGUGCGUCUACUGCCUAUAUGUACGUGGGAAAGAGCAUUUUUCUUUUAUUAUUCCAUUUUCUCCCAAGAGAUUUGGCAGCCAGAGUCUCGCGUUCUGUCUUUCACUGUACGGCUGCAGCAACCAGAGAAGGAACCUGCAAGUUCAAAAAUUCAUUAUGAUGAAAAGCAGCAGGGUGGGUGUGUAGGUGGAAGUGCGAAAUGUCUGCAUCUCAAAGAGGGAAUCUCAUGGAUUCUCACAUACCUCCAGCAGCAGAUCCGCAUCCAGCAGCAAUGUAAAGCUGUGCACCGUCUGCCAGGAUGAGGAAAAGAAACUCCAAACACGUGUAUAUACAUGCAUGAUAUGGUAGAUUUUAAAGAGUCUGAAAACAAAGGAAAAUGGUGAGAAUCACCUCUAUUUACUAUUAGCAUUCCUCAAACAAUCCCUCAGAUGUAUUGCUGAGCCUCUCAUAAUAAGCCUCUCGUGUUUCUGUCCAGGCUGCAUGUGUGUGUGUGUGUGUUUGUGUGUGUAGGUGAAUACAAUCUUUAGAAUAUAUACUACACUGUGUUCCAUGUUCCCAGACGUCUCUAUGCUCCAGAUCAAUGGUGCAGAUUUGAUCCAGCCUUUUGGACUGCCCGGGGUUUGCCAACAUAUCAUUGGGCACAGUGGGAACUGAAUAUUUCAGAUAGACAGAUUGAUCUGCUGGACUUGCUGGCCACACGUGUCCAAUCCUGCAAUCAGAGGCAGCUCUGAUCGAACACAAUGAUUCUUAGACGCAGCCCCCCCACUGGGAGGCAAAGGUGUGGUGAGAAACAGAUUGAGGAGGGAGGAAAGAUGAGCAAAUUAUCCACACAAGAGGCACUUUGUGCAGCCUGUGAUGCAGCUUCGGUCCUGAUGAAGAUGUCUGUCUACUAAUCGCAGACUUUUAACGUAAUUAAAUCAAUUUAGUUGUUCAUUUGCGUAGUCAGACCCCGCCCCUGGGUCCUCUUUCGCCCCGCGCACCUGUGGCCAAUCAGCGCUAUCAUGAGGCCCUUUUAGGUCCCUGCUCUACGCUGCCUCCCUGCCAGAUUGUCCUCUGUAGUCCACAUGACUCUCCAACGUUUUCCUGCCUGCCUGUCUGCCUGGUCUUGACCCUGCCUGUCCCGACGAUCCUAUCCUGCCUGCUCCCCGGUAAACCCGACUGCCUUCUGUUCCUGACAUCGCACGUGGACGGACUCGCCCAGUCCCCGCUUCCCCGCGGGUCCAGCUCUGCCUGCCUGUACAACCCUGACAAUAAAGCGGAGUUUAACCGAACUCUGGUGUUGCUCUUAGGUUCUCGUUGAUCCCAAACAACCUAUAAUAUAAUAUAAAAAUAAGUAAUACUUACUUAUUACCAUCUGUUUACUAACUCCAAUCCAGUUGUGGAAGCUAACCUGCUGAAACGACAUGUCACCACCUAGUGUUGGGGAGGACAGGUCGGUUGAUCUUCACCAUUGCAUGUAAACUGGGACAAGGAUCAAAUUCCAAUUAGAUGCACAAAGUGUUGCUUUGCGGAAGCGCACUGAGUAUUGGGGGACGGAAAAGGUGUUUAUUGAAUAAAACAUAUUUUUACCAUGUGUGUCACAACAAGAGUGUGCUACCUGUUCUGAUAUUUAUGUUGAUCAUUUAUGCCAGAGUCAUCGGUUCCUGUCUGUAAUUAUCAGAAUUUUACCAUCUCUAUUAAUCUACCUUUCACUACUAAGAACUCGUUAAGAUAUCGGCUACCUUUGUCAGGAAACUGAGCUUUAGCAAUUAGCCAGCGUUUGGCUUUGACACUACUUUACACCAUUGCGAAUUCUGUCGACUAAUUACAGGAUAACGCUAGCAUGUAUCUUAACAAGCCAUAAAUGCUGAAAGUGUUGCUACAGACAGACCGGGUUAUUAAGGACAGACCAUAAUAGCAUGCGAUGAUUCCUUCAAUGUGAUUUGUCCUCUCUGUACUUGUAUUUUAUUAUUAAUUCUUUCUGCUACUAUUACAUGUGUAUUAUGUGUAGUGUAAAAACUAGCUUCUCUUAAGUAUGAUCCCACCCACUCGUGUC